RNAcentral lists this ribosomal RNA (1018 nucleotides) under uncultured organism. Its description in RNAcentral is "bacterial SSU rRNA". It matches the Rfam family "Bacterial small subunit ribosomal RNA", at positions 360 to 1377 of the family's 1533-position model. The record is from RNAcentral.
AAUCUUGCGCAAUGGGCGAAAGCCUGACGCAAGCGACGCCGCGUGGACGAUGAAUGCCUUCGGGUUGUAAAGUCCGGUAAGCAGGGAAGAAUAAGUGUAAAGUAAUAUCUUGCACGAUGACGGUACCUGCCUAAAGCCCCGGCUAACUACGUGCCAGCAGCCGCGGUAAUACGUAUGGGGCAAGCGUUGUUCGGAAUUAUUGGGCAUAAAGGGCGUCUAGGCGGGGGACUAAGUCAGGUGUGAAAGCCAUGGGCUCAACCCAUGAAUUGCACCUAAAACUGGUUUUCUUGAGUUCGGGAGGGGAGAGCGGAAUUCCCGGUGUAGCGGUGAAAUGCGUAGAUAUCGGGAAGAACACCAGUGGCGAAGGCGGCUCUCUGGCCUAGAACUGACGCUGAAGCGCGAAAGCGUGGGGAGCGAACGGGAUUAGAUACCCCGGUAGUCCACGCCGUAAACGUUGUGUACUAGGUGUUAGUGGCUUGACCACUAGUGCCGUCGCAAACGCAUUAAGUACACCGCCUGGGGAGUACGUCCGCAAGGAUGAAACUCAAAGAAAUUGACGGGGGCCCGCACAAGCGGUGGAGCAUGUGGUUUAAUUCGAUGAUACGCGAAGAACCUUACCUGGGCUUGAACUGUACUUGAUCGGUGUAGAGAUACACCCUCCUUCGGGCAGGUGCAGAGGUGCUGCAUGGUUGUCGUCAGCUCGUGUCGUGAGAUGUUGGGUUAAGUCCCGCAACGAGCGCAACCCUUACCCCUUGUUGCCAUCAGGUAAUGCUGAGCACUCUAGGGGAACUGUCGGUGAUAAACCGGAGGAAGGUGGGGAUGACGUCAAAUCAUCACGGCCCUUAUGUCCAGGGCUACACACGUGCUACAAUGGCCGGUACAAUGAGUUGCGAGACCGCGAGGUGGAGCUAAUCUCAAAAAACCGGUCUCAGUUCGGAUUGCAGUCUGCAACUCGACUGCAUGAAGCUGGAAUCGCUAGUAAUCGCGGAUCAGCACGCCGCGGUGAAUACGUUCCCGG